This 377-nucleotide long non-coding RNA is filed under the name Phoenix dactylifera (date palm). RNAcentral's name for it is "long non-coding RNA (PDAC_LNC017480)". Lineage: Eukaryota; Viridiplantae; Streptophyta; Magnoliopsida; Arecales; Arecaceae. The record is from RNAcentral.
GAAGGGAGAUCCCACUCAGGUCAAUUUCGGGGUACUUAGCCGACACCCUUGUCAGGCCUUCCUCGAAGCCUAAGAUAAAGGAGUCGGACCCCGCGUCCGACAUGUCACGGACGAACUCGUCAGACUGACGAUAGGCCUGUACUGCCUCCGACAUAUCACGGGUGAACUCGACGGACUGACGAUAAGCCUGUACCGCCUGACGCCCGAUUUCCGCACUCUUCUCGGCCAGCGCCGCCUCUGCCCGCUCCAUAAUCUGAGCUUUCGCCUCCAAGACCUUCGCCACAAUCCGGUCGUCCGCCUCGGAGGAGACCCUUAGCAGAUCAGCCUGAGCCUCUUUGUGCUUCGCCUCGGCAGCAAUGCGAGCAGCCUCAGCCUCC